RNAcentral lists this ribosomal RNA (468 nucleotides) under uncultured bacterium. RNAcentral's name for it is "partial 16S ribosomal RNA". It matches the Rfam family "Bacterial small subunit ribosomal RNA", at positions 28 to 507 of the family's 1533-position model. The record is from RNAcentral.
GACGAACGCUGGCGGCGUGCUUAACACAUGCAAGUCGAACGGAAAGGCCCUGCUUUUGUGGGGUGCUCGAGUGGCGAACGGGUGAGUAACACGUGAGUAACCUGCCCUUGACUUUGGGAUAACUUCAGGAAACUGGGGCUAAUACCGGAUAGGAGCUCCUGCUGCAUGGUGGGGGUUGGAAAGUUUCGGCGGUUGGGGAUGGACUCGCGGCUUGUCAGCUUGUUGGUGGGGUAGUGGCUUACCAAGGCUUUGACGGGUAGCCGGCCUGAGAGGGUGACCGGCCACAUUGGAACUGAGAUACGGCCCAGACUCCUACGGGAGGCAGCAGUGGGGAAUAUUGCACAAUGGGCGGAAGCCUGAUGCAGCAACGCCGCGUGCGGGAUGACGGCCUUCGGGUUGUAAACCGCUUUCGCCUGUGACGAAGCGUGAGUGACGGUAAUGGGUAAAGAAGCACCGGCUAACUACGUG